This 253-nucleotide ribosomal RNA is filed under the name uncultured bacterium. RNAcentral describes it as "partial 16S ribosomal RNA". It matches the Rfam family "Bacterial small subunit ribosomal RNA", at positions 524 to 776 of the family's 1533-position model. The record is from RNAcentral.
UACAGAGAGUGCGAACGUUGUUCGGAAUCACUGGGCUUAAAGCGCACGUAGGCGGCAUCGUAAGUGUCGGGUGAAAUCCCACGGCUCACCCGUGGAACUGCCCGGCAGACUGCGAUGCUCGAGUGUGGUAGGGGAGAACGGAACUCCUGGUGGAGCGGUGAAAUGCGUAGAUAUCGGGAAGAACAUCGGUGGCGAAAGCGCUCUACUGGACCGCAACUGACACUCAGGGACGAAAGCUAGGGGAGCGAAUGGG